AAAAAUAUCUUUAAAUACAGAUAAUAAUUGUUUGCAUAAAAAUUGCUUCCAGGAUCCAGCAAUACUGAUGAUUCAUAAAGUAAGGAAAUCGAAGGAAAACGGGUCAUUUUAAGCCAUUUUACUGCGAGAAAAAAAUCGGCGGAAGGGGGGGGGGCUCGAUCGGCGGCCCCUAAACCCCUGCCUCCCCUGAAUUCGAACCCUAAUUACGGCCCUG
RNAcentral lists this long non-coding RNA (214 nucleotides) under Mytilus galloprovincialis (Mediterranean mussel). The record is from RNAcentral. Lineage: Eukaryota; Metazoa; Mollusca; Bivalvia; Mytilida; Mytilidae.